UACGAAGGUCCCGAGCGUUGUUCGGAAUCACUGGGCGUAAAGGGCGCGUAGGCGGCGCGGUAAGUCAGAUGUGAAAUCCCGGGGCUCAACCCCGGAACUGCAUCCGAUACUGCCGUGCUAGAGGAUUGGAGAGGUAGCUGGAAUUCUUGGUGUAGCAGUGAAAUGCGUAGAGAUCAAGAGGAACACUCGUGGCGAAAGCGAGCUACUGGACAAUUCCUGACGCUGAGGCUCGAAGGCUAGGGUAGCGAAAGGG
This 253-nucleotide ribosomal RNA is filed under the name uncultured bacterium. RNAcentral's name for it is "partial 16S ribosomal RNA". It matches the Rfam family "Bacterial small subunit ribosomal RNA", at positions 524 to 776 of the family's 1533-position model. The record is from RNAcentral.